This is a long non-coding RNA of Chelonus insularis, 546 nucleotides long. RefSeq lists it as uncharacterized. The record is from RefSeq and is a predicted model, not a curated record. The transcript has 3 exons. NCBI's taxonomy places the organism in Eukaryota, Metazoa, Arthropoda, Insecta, Hymenoptera, Braconidae.
ACAAGUUUUAUAAGAAGGAAUAAUUUAUGCGAAGAUGAUUCACCCAUAUACGUAACCAAGAAUGAAGAUGAGUAUAGUAACCUUGACCAUGAGUAUCACAAGUAGGUCGUCGAGCUCAAGAGUGAGAGAUUCACGUCUGCAUCUCGAUCCACAAUUCUAAAGAGUAAACGACUUACGUAACAUUGCUGGAGUUCUGAGGUCAGCGACUCAUCUUUAACUUUUUUUUACAUCUUCCGGCUUAACUGAGUUUUAAUGGAGACAUUUAUUAUUCACUAUUGCUAAAGAUUGUCCUGAUUUUGUAAUGGAAUAUCCUGUGCAAUCUGAACUCAUACCAUGCAUAAUUGAUAUUUAUCAAAGCAAAUUGCAACAUGGAUUUCUUGUAGUCAUCAGGCUGUCAUGAUAGUUCUUCAGACUAAUGUUGAGGAUUCUUUUGUCCCUUAUAUCGAGCGAAAGUGAAAUUAAAAGUAAACUCUUCAGUAUUCUAGUUCCUUGAAUACUGUCUACCUACUUUUUGCUUGCGUUUAAUUGCGUAACAUGUGUCUACAU